RNAcentral lists this ribosomal RNA (234 nucleotides) under uncultured bacterium. RNAcentral describes it as "partial 16S ribosomal RNA". It matches the Rfam family "Bacterial small subunit ribosomal RNA", at positions 15 to 238 of the family's 1533-position model. The record is from RNAcentral.
GAUCAUGGCUCAGGACGAACGCUGGCGGCGUGCCUAAUACAUGCAAGUAGAACGCUGAAGAGAGGAGCUUGCUCUUCUUGGAUGAGUUGCGAACGGGUGAGUAAUGCGUAGGUAACCUGCCUUGUAGCGGGGGGAUAACUAUUGGAAACGAUAGCUAAUACCGCAUAACAAUGGGUGACUCAUGUCAUUUAUUUGAAAGGGGCAAAUGCUCCACUACAAGAUGGACCUGCGUUG